RNAcentral lists this ribosomal RNA (913 nucleotides) under uncultured archaeon. RNAcentral describes it as "bacterial SSU rRNA". It matches the Rfam family "Archaeal small subunit ribosomal RNA", at positions 1 to 921 of the family's 1478-position model. The record is from RNAcentral.
UUCGGUUGAUCCUGCCGGAGGUUACUGCUAUCGAGGUUCGACUAAGCCAUGCGAGUCGAAUGUAGCAAUACAUGGCGUACUGCUCAGUAACACGUGGACAACCUACCCUCCGGACGGGGAUAAACCCGGGAAACUGGGUAUAAUACCCGAUAGAUCUCGACUGCUGGAAUGCAUCGAGAUCGAAAGCUCCGGCGCCAGAGGAUGGGUCUGCGGCCUAUCAGGUAGUAGUGGGUGUAGCGUACCUACUAGCCUACGACGGGUACGGGUUGUGAGAGCAAGAGCCCGGAGAUGGAUUCUGAGACACGAAUCCAGGCCCUACGGGGUGCAGCAGGCGCGAAAACUUUACAAUGCCGGCAACGGCGAUAAGGGGACCUCGAGUGCCAGGUUACAAAUCUGGCUGUCGUGAUGCCUAAAAAGCAUUGCAUAGCAAGGGCCGGGCAAGACCGGUGCCAGCCGCCGCGGUAACACCGGCGGCUCGAGUGGUAACCGUUAUUAUUGGGUCUAAAGGGUCUGUAGCCGGCCGGAUAAGUCUCUUGGGAAAUCCAGCAGCUCAACUGUUGGGCUUUCAGGAGAUACUGUCUGGCUCGAGGCCGGGAGAGGUGAGAGGUACUUCAGGGGUAGGGGUGAAAUCUUGUAAUCCUUGAAGGACCACCAGUGGCGAAGGCGUCUCACCAGAACGGACCUGACGGCAAGGGACGAAAGCUAGGGGCACGAACCAGAUUAGAUACCCGGGUAGUCCUAGCCGUAAACGAUACUCGCUAGGUGUCGGCCACGGUGCGACCGUUGUCGGUGCCGUAGGGAAGCCGUGAAGCGAGCCACCUGGGAAGUACGGCCGCAAGGCUGAAACUUAAAGGAAUUGGCGGGGGAGCACCACAACGGGUGGAGCUUGCGGUUUAAUUGGAUUCAACGCCGG